AUGCUUUCAGAGUUCUUAAGGAUGAUGCCUGGGUUUGCAUGCUCAUAUGUCAAACAUGCCGCCCUCAAGCUUUUUUAUGAUGUUGGCACAUUAUCCAUCUGGUG
Small nucleolar RNA from Nycticebus coucang (slow loris), 104 nucleotides. RefSeq annotates it as small nucleolar RNA U13. The record is from RefSeq and is a predicted model, not a curated record. NCBI's taxonomy places the organism in Eukaryota, Metazoa, Chordata, Mammalia, Primates, Lorisidae. The transcript has a single exon.